This 649-nucleotide ribosomal RNA is filed under the name uncultured marine bacterium. Its description in RNAcentral is "bacterial SSU rRNA". It matches the Rfam family "Bacterial small subunit ribosomal RNA", at positions 8 to 640 of the family's 1533-position model. The record is from RNAcentral.
AGAGUUUGAUCUGGCUCAGGAUGAACGCUGGCGGCGUGCCUAAUACAUGCAAGUCGAGCGAAUGACGAGGAGCUUGCUCCUCUGAUUUAGCGGCGGACGGGUGAGUAACACGUGGGUAACCUGCCUGUAAGACGGGGAUAACUCCGGGAAACCGGAGCUAAUACCGGAUGAUAACGAGAAGCGCCUGCUUCUUUUUUGAAAGUCGGUUUCGGCUGACGCUUACAGAUGGGCCCGCGGCGCAUUAGCUAGUUGGUGAGGUAACGGCUCACCAAGGCGACGAUGCGUAGCCGACCUGAGAGGGUGAUCGGCCACACUGGGACUGAGACACGGCCCAGACUCCUACGGGAGGCAGCAAUAGGGAAUCUUCGGCAAUGGACGAAAGUCUGACCGAGCAACGCCGCGUGAGCGAUGAAGGCCUUCGGGUCGUAAAGCUCUGUUGUCAGAGAAGAACAAGUACCGGAGUAACUGCCGGUACCUUGACGGUACCUGACCAGAAAGCCACGGCUAACUAAGUGCCAGCAGCCGCGGUAAUACGUAGGUGGCAAGCGUUAUCCGGAAUUAUUGGGCGUAAAGCGCGCGCAGGCGGUCUUUUAAGUCUGAUGUGAAAGCCCACGGCUCAACCGUGGAGGGUCAUUGGAAACUGGGGAGA